GACGAACGCUGGCGGCGCGCUUAACACAUGCAAGUCGAACGGAAAGGCCUGCUUUCCCUUGUGGAUUGCGGGUACUCGAGUGGCGAACGGGUGAGUAACACGUGAGUGAUCUGCCCCCAACUUGGGUAUAAGCCUGGGAAACUGGGUCUAAUUCCCGAUAGGACUGCAGGGUGGUGCCUGUGGUGGAAAACGAUUUUCUAGUGGUUGGGGAUGAGCUCGCGGCCUAUCAGCUUGUUGGUGGGGUAAUGGCCUACCAAGGCGGCGACGGGUAGCCGGCCUGGGAGGGUGGACGGCCACGUUGGGACUGAGAUACGGCCCAGACUCCUACGGGAGGCAGCAGUGGGGAAUAUUGCACAAGGGGCGGAAGCCUGAUGCAGCGACGCCGCGUGGGGGAUGACGGCCUUCGGGUUGUAAACUCCUUUCGACCGCGAGGAAGCCACCUGGUUGGAAGGGUGGUGACGGUAGUGGUAGAAGAAGCACCGGCUAACUACGUG
RNAcentral lists this ribosomal RNA (494 nucleotides) under uncultured bacterium. RNAcentral describes it as "partial 16S ribosomal RNA". It matches the Rfam family "Bacterial small subunit ribosomal RNA", at positions 28 to 507 of the family's 1533-position model. The record is from RNAcentral.